CAACGGCUGGGUGCUGUCUGGAAACGGAGGCUGACCAGAAAGUUAUGCAUCGACAGCGGCUAGUGGAGAACCCUCUCCGCCCAUCAGACAACCCUGACGGGUGCACAUUCAUUAAGUAACCAUGGCUAAUAAUCGUCUUACCUGAGGCAACAUUUCCUUUGCGGCGGAUGGAUCUGUGGGGACCAUACUGAGACUCUGACCCUGCAUUAACAUGGAGGAAUAAAGGACACUGGACACAAGCCUCAUUUCCUAGCUGUGACUGAUACUCAUAUAUUACUAGGAUCCUAGCAGAGCACUAGAUACCUUUUAUGUUAACAUGCCACUCUCAGUAUUAUUUUGAGUCUAUUAAGAUUGAUCUGGUUCCUGCAGAUCCACACAGCACAAAUUUGGAAAUCAUUUAAUAGUGAAUGAGCACACAUGUAUUUGUUAGCCGACUGACCCAGCGACUCACUGCCC
RNAcentral lists this long non-coding RNA (456 nucleotides) under Pelobates cultripes (western spadefoot toad). The record is from RNAcentral. Lineage: Eukaryota; Metazoa; Chordata; Amphibia; Anura; Pelobatidae.